RNAcentral lists this ribosomal RNA (237 nucleotides) under uncultured Lactobacillus sp. Its description in RNAcentral is "partial 16S ribosomal RNA". It matches the Rfam family "Bacterial small subunit ribosomal RNA", at positions 126 to 355 of the family's 1533-position model. Lineage: Bacteria; Bacillati; Bacillota; Bacilli; Lactobacillales; Lactobacillaceae. The record is from RNAcentral.
UCGCCCAAGAGAUCGGGAUAACACCUAGGAAACAGAUGCUAAUACCGGAUAACAACAGAUGAUGCCUAUCAACUGUUUAAAAGAUGGUUCUGCUAUCACUCUUGGAUGGACCUGCGGUGCAUUAGCUAGUUGGUAGGGUAACGGCCUACCAAGGCGAUGAUGCAUAGCCGAGUUGAGAGACUGAUCGGCCACAUUGGGACUGAGACACGGCCCAAACUCCUACGGGAGGCAGCAGCA